UUAAUUAUAGUUUAUUUAUUAAAACUUUAAAUUGCAAAUUUAACAAAAUUUAGAAAUUAAUUAAU
Molecule: transfer RNA, 65 nt
Filed under: Tetragonula pagdeni
Lineage: Eukaryota; Metazoa; Arthropoda; Insecta; Hymenoptera; Apidae
Description: tRNA-Cys
Source: RNAcentral